CAGCAAGUCGUUAUGCCCCUCUUACAAUUUUUCUGAUUUCUUUCUAGAAAAAGUUAUUUUUCUGUGCACUACUUUAGUUUAUUCUGUCCUUUAAGGCCUAUUUAAUCUCCUGAAAAUGAAUCUUAUUAAUAAUAUGCACCAAUCCUGCAAAGACCACCUAAAAGAAGAGGCCUGGAUCACCACUUAUAUGAUUCUGACGAUUAGCUAUUAUUCUGGUUUACCAAAUUGGUUUUACAUUAUCUGGUUAAAACUUUUUUACAACAAAUCGAUGGAUGUAUACAGUUCCAGGGCAGUACAUCUAUCCUUUUGAUGGAUAUUAUGAACAAUGCAUCAGGACAAGUAUAUCUAAAAUUUUAUUUCUUUUGGGUAAAUAAUUAUUUUUACUGGUUUUUAAUGUUCAUCUGAAUUGGAUAGUUUUGAAAUAUAAUUAAGUAAGAAAAAAAUAUACAAAGGGUCUUUGAGUUACUUUUUUGUAGUUCAUUAUCAUCACAGACAAAUUCAGACUAUCUAUUUUUAAUUUGGUUUAAUUUUUGGCUUUUGGUAGAAUACUAUCUACUUAGAAUUUUACUUCAUGUUGUUUUUGGUUUUUGAAAUAGCUUGACUCCCAUAUAUUUUUGAUUGUGGGAAUAAUAUUAUAAUUUUUCAAUCCUGUUAAAUAUUUCAUUGACUGUAUUUCUUAUCGAUUUUAUUUGUUUGGUAAAAUAUACAAUCUAGUAAGACUCUUUUUUUUCGUGUUGUUUUUGGUUUAUUUUCAUUUCUCUGUAAUCGCUUAACUCCCACUUGUUCUCCAUUGUAGGCAUAAUACAUCAUUCAUCAAUUCCAUAAAAUAUUCCAUUACUUGUAUUUGUAUAAGUCUUCUUUUAUUUGUAUUACUUUUCUUAUGGUGUCGUGCUUGUAACUUUUUGCUUGUGUAAUUUCCUGCCCAGAAUUUUAAUUUUGAUGGAUUCAUUGUCCACGUCAUUUUUCUUAGAUCAUAUCCCAUGAAUUGAUCUAUUUUACGGAUUCUGUUGAUUUGGGUUGCCUCUAGUUAAAUAUAAUUUAAAUCCACAAUUAAUCCACAACACUUAAAAUUUUCAAAAUAAGGAUAACUUUCCGACCAGUUCCUGGCGCAUUUUGCCAGUUAUUUAAAAAACCUGUUCACAGAUUGUCACUUCUGGCCUUUCUAGCAUUUUUCCAAAAAAUUUCUUUAAAAAUCUCGCAAUAAGUAUUAACUUCCAAUCGAUCCGUGGCGCAUUCGCCAUUUAUUCGAUAAACCUGACGUCCACUUCUGGUUUUUCUAGCAUUUUAUUUCUGAUUAAUUUUCCUGAUGAGUAACAUCGACUCCAGAGCAUCAUAACUAGCCUCCCCUAAGAGGAGGAGACCCGGGUCACCCCCUAACCCUGAUGUUCGGCCAU
This is a long non-coding RNA of Sitophilus oryzae (rice weevil), 1394 nucleotides long. RefSeq lists it as uncharacterized. The record is from RefSeq and is a predicted model, not a curated record. The transcript is spliced from 3 exons. Lineage: Eukaryota; Metazoa; Arthropoda; Insecta; Coleoptera; Curculionidae.